CCUACGGGAGGCAGCAGUGAGGAAUAUUGGUCAAUGGACGCGAGUCUGAACCAGCCAAGUCGCGUGAGGGAUGACUGCCCUAUGGAUUGUAAACUUCUUUUAUCUGGGAAUAAAGUGUUCCACGUGUGGGAUUUUGUAUGUACCAUAUGAAUAAGGAUCGGCUAACUCCGUGCCAGCAGCCGCGGUAAUACGGAGGAUCCGAGCGUUAUCCGGAUUUAUUGGGUUUAAAGGGUGCGUAGGUGGAAUUUUAAGUCAGUUGUGAAAGUUUGUGGCUCAACCGGAAAAUUGCAGUUGAAACUGGGAGGCUUGAGUACAUUAGAGGCAGGCGGAAUUCGUGGUGUAGCGGUGAAAUGCUUAGAUAUCACGAAGAACCCCGAUUGCGAAGGCAGCUCACUGGGCUGCAACUGACACUGAGGCUCGAAAGUGUGGGGAUCAAACAGGAUUAGAUACCCCAGUAGUC
This 460-nucleotide ribosomal RNA is filed under the name uncultured bacterium. RNAcentral's name for it is "partial 16S ribosomal RNA". It matches the Rfam family "Bacterial small subunit ribosomal RNA", at positions 338 to 795 of the family's 1533-position model. The record is from RNAcentral.